GAUGAACGCUGGCGGCGUGCUUAACACAUGCAAGUCGAACGAAGCACUUUAACUUGAUUCUUCGGAUGAAGGUUUUUGUGACUGAGUGGCGGACGGGUGAGUAACGCGUGGGUAACCUGCCUCAUACAGGGGGAUAACAGUUAGAAAUGACUGCUAAUACCGCAUAAGACCACGGAGCCGCAUGGCUCCGUGGGAAAAACUCCGGUGGUGUGAGAUGGACCCGCGUCUGAUUAGGUAGUUGGUGGGGUAACGGCCUACCAAGCCGACGAUCAGUAGCCGACCUGAGAGGGUGACCGGCCACAUUGGGACUGAGACACGGCCCAAACUCCUACGGGAGGCAGCAGUGGGGAAUAUUGCACAAUGGGGGAAACCCUGAUGCAGCGACGCCGCGUGAAGCGAAGAAAGUAUUUCGGUAUGUAAAGCUCUAUCAGCAGGGAAGAAAAUGACGGUACCUGACUAAGAAGCACCGGCUAAAUACGUGCCAGCAGCCGCGGUAAUACGUAUGGUGCAAGCGUUAUCCGGAUUUACUGGGUGUAAAGGGAGCGUAGACGGCUGUGUAAGUCUGAAGUGAAAGCCCGGGGCUCAACCCCGGGACUGCUUUGGAAACUAUGCAGCUAGAGUGUCGGAGAGGUAAGUGGAAUUCCCAGUGUAGCGGUGAAAUGCGUAGAUAUUGGGAGGAACACCAGUGGCGAAGGCGGCUUACUGGACGAUGACUGACGUUGAGGCUCGAAAGCGUGGGGAGCAAACAGGAUUAGAUACCCUGGUAGUCCACGCCGUAAAC
This 781-nucleotide ribosomal RNA is filed under the name uncultured bacterium. RNAcentral describes it as "bacterial SSU rRNA". It matches the Rfam family "Bacterial small subunit ribosomal RNA", at positions 28 to 807 of the family's 1533-position model. The record is from RNAcentral.